RNAcentral lists this long non-coding RNA (720 nucleotides) under Populus trichocarpa (black cottonwood). Its description in RNAcentral is "long non-coding RNA (PTRI_LNC004529)". Lineage: Eukaryota; Viridiplantae; Streptophyta; Magnoliopsida; Malpighiales; Salicaceae. The record is from RNAcentral.
UCUUGUAGCGUUAGAAAUCCCAGUUGUUUCUUUAGAUUUUCUGAACUUGGUUUUUUUCUGUAAAAUAUUUCAUGAAAAAAAUGAUACGAGUAAGGAAAUUUAACAGUAAAAGAAGAAAAGGAAAAGAAUAUGAUUUAUUAUUAUACACAAAGAAAUAUCGAGUCGAAGGACAGAGUUAAUGGUUUUAUGCUAGAUCGUCUUUUAUCACAAGCAGAGCCUUCAAGGGCCAUCUCCCCUGCAAGAACUUGAGAUUAAUGACUAGUAUAGCAGUGAGUGAAGAGUACCCUCCCAGCGAGUCAAUUCUUGAGUUGAGAUCUAGUUGAGCCAGCGGAAGAUUCGACCUCUGGGAAUAUAAUUUUUUAUUGAACAUUAGAACAGUAACUCAGCCCCUCAAAACUUUCUGUUCAGACACCGCCACUGCCCACCGAGCUCUCUUCCUUUACCUGGUUUCUUCACGAAGAAGACGAAUGAUCCUGUUGUUGUUGAUGCAAGUAGUGAGAUCAUGAAGCUUUUAGGGCUUAGUUCGUAGUUUGAUUUUGUUUUUUUCUUUUUUGGGGUCGUGAAGCUGUUGCUGCUGGUGGAUGAGAUUUCGAGGUUGAAGAUUAUUAAAUACAGUUAACCGAUUAUGCUAGCAACUAAAAUAACUGAAAGUUGGUUUAAUUAUUUAUAUAAAUAAUGAAAAUGAUUAAUAUAUUUUUAAUUGUUUAAUAACAAUCAUUG